Molecule: long non-coding RNA, 583 nt
Filed under: Rattus norvegicus (Norway rat)
Lineage: Eukaryota; Metazoa; Chordata; Mammalia; Rodentia; Muridae
Description: long non-coding RNA NONRATT018998
Source: RNAcentral
UAUAGCAGGACUGCUAGUAAGUCCGUUCUGAUAGUGAAAACAGCAAUGAGAGCUCUGCCAGUUCCCCAUGUGUUAGCGGUUCAUUGCUUCUAGAUGGCAGUCAGAUUUUCUACCUCUCAGAGCACAUUCCAAGAGGUUGUAAAACCGUUCACCAAAAGUCAUCAAAAGGAACUAAUGACUUAUUUUAGGACAGAAGAUAAGAUAUUGACUGAGCUUAUCUAUACAAAACUUCACCAAUAACUUAGUUACUUGGUUUUAAAAUCUUGAUGAGCCUGUGGAAGCUGAGACAGGUGAUGAACGUUUAGCCAGGUAAUUUCUCCUAAUGGAUAUGCAUGUAAACAUUCACUGAUGUUAGCUUUUUAUUCAAUGUCUGAUUUAAAUUUCUGUGUAAACUUGUGCUCAACUCUUUAACAUGCGUUCUUCUAUUCUGAAAGAUGUAUAAGUGCUGAGGACAAAGAGAGGAGAGCGAAAUAUUUUCCCUUAUCCCCCUUUUUCAUUCAUUCUGUUUUCCCCCUUUUGCUUAGAGAGCUUUCAUAGGAAACGUUUUACAACUUAGUAAUAAAUGCUAAAAUCACUUUUCCAA